GACGAACGCUGGCGGCGUGCUUAACACAUGCAAGUCGAACGGAAAGGCCCUGCUUUUGUGGGGUGCUCGAGUGGCGAGCGGGUGAGUAACACGUGAGUAACCUGCCCUUGACUUUGGGAUAACUUCAGGAAACUGGGGCUAAUACCGGAUAGGAGCUCCUGCUGCAUGGUGGGGGUUGGAAAGUUUCGGCGGUUGGGGAUGGACUCGCGGCUUAUCAGCUUGUUGGUGGGGUAGUGGCUUACCAAGGCUUUGACGGGUAGCCGGCCUGAGAGGGUGACCGGCCACAUUGGGACUGAGAUACGGCCCAGACUCCUACGGGAGGCAGCAGUGGGGAAUAUUGCACAAUGGGCGGAAGCCUGAUGCAGCAACGCCGCGUGCGGGAUGACGGCCUUCGGGUUGUAAACCGCUUUCGCCUGUGACGAAGCGUGAGUGACGGUAAUGGGUAAAGAAGCACCGGCUAACUACGUGCCAGCAGCCGCGGUGAUACGUAGGGUGCGAGCGUUGUCCGGAUUUAUUGGGCGUAAAGGGCUCGUAGGUGGUUGAUCGCGUCGGAAGUGUAAUCUUGGGGCUUAACCCUGAGCGUGCUUUCGAUACGGGUUGACUUGAGGAAGGUAGGGGAGAAUGGAAUUCCUGGUGGAGCGGUGGAAUGCGCAGAUAUCAGGAGGAACACCAGUGGCGAAGGCGGUUCUCUGGGCCUUUCCUGACGCUGAGGAGCGAAAGCGUGGGGAGCGAACAGGCUUAGAUACCCCGGUAGUCCACGCUGUAAACGGUGGGUACUAGGUGUGGGGUCCAUUCCACGGGUUCCGUGCCGUAGCUAACGCUUUAAGUACCCCGCCUGGGGAGUACGGCCGCAAGGCUAAAACUCAAAGGAAUUGACGGGGCCCCGCACAAGCGGCGGAGCAUGCGGAUUAAUUCGAUGCAACGCGUAGAACCUUACCUGGGUUUGACAUGGAUCGGGGGUGCUCAGAGAUGGGUGUGCCUCUUUUGGGGUCGGUUCACAGGUGGUGCAUGGCUGUCGUCAGCUCGUGUCGUGAGAUGUUGGGUUAAGUCCCGCAACGAGCGCAACCCUUGUUCACUGUUGCCAGCACGUUAUGGUGGGGACUCAGUGGAGACCGCCGGGGUCAACUCGGAGGAAGGUGGGGAUGACGUCAAGUCAUCAUGCCCCUUAUGUCCAGGGCUUCACGCAUGCUACAAUGGCUGGUACAGAGAGUGGCGAGCCUGUGAGGGUGAGCGAAUCUCGGAAAGCCGGUCUCAGUUCGGAUUGGGGUCUGCAACUCGACCUCAUGAAGUCGGAGUCGCUAGUAAUCGCAGAUCAGCAACGCUGCGGUGAAUACGUUCCCGGG
This 1343-nucleotide ribosomal RNA is filed under the name uncultured bacterium. Its description in RNAcentral is "16S ribosomal RNA". It matches the Rfam family "Bacterial small subunit ribosomal RNA", at positions 28 to 1378 of the family's 1533-position model. The record is from RNAcentral.